Molecule: ribosomal RNA, 253 nt
Filed under: uncultured bacterium
Lineage: Bacteria
Description: partial 16S ribosomal RNA
Rfam family: Bacterial small subunit ribosomal RNA
Source: RNAcentral
UACGUAGGGGGCGAGCGUUGUCCGGAUUUAUUGGGCGUAAAGAGCUCGUAGGCGGCCUGUCGCGUCGACUGUGAAAACCCAGGGCUCAACCCUGGGCCUGCAGUCGAUACGGGCAGGCUAGAGUGCAGUAGGGGAGACUGGAAUUCCUGGUGUAGCGGUGAAAUGCGCAGAUAUCAGGAGGAACACCGGUGGCGAAGGCGGGUCUCUGGGCUGUAACUGACGCUGAGGAGCGAAAGCGUGGGGAGCAAACAGG